GUGCUCACUUCAGCAACACAUAUACUAAAAUAGGAAUGAUACAGAGAAGAUUAGCAUGGCCCCUGCACAAGGAUGACAUGAAAAUUCGUAAUGCAUUUCAUAUUUUU
Small nuclear RNA from Mesocricetus auratus (golden hamster), 107 nucleotides. The record is from RefSeq and is a predicted model, not a curated record. Lineage: Eukaryota; Metazoa; Chordata; Mammalia; Rodentia; Cricetidae.